GUUUCAGGUGGAAUGAAGUUUGCUAAUCAGCUGACCUUAAACGAAGGAGAUUAUGCUGGAUUAGCCAGGUGGGCUUAAUAUAGAUGCCAGGCUCCUGAGAAGGGGAAGAAGAAGGCAGAAGAGAGUCAGAGAGAUGGCAAUGGGAAGAAAUGCCCUGCUGUUGGAUGGCUUUGAGGUUGGAGGAAGGGCCCAGGAAGCAAGGCAGGUGGGCAGCUUCUAGAAGCCAGAAAGGACAAGGAAGUGGAUCCUUCUCAAGAGCCUCCAGAAAGGCAGGCUGCUCUGUCGACACCUUGACUUCAGCCCCGUGAGACCCAUCUCAGACUUCUGAACGACAGCACUGUGAGCAAACAGGUCCUGCUGUGCCGCACUUGAGACCUGUGCUAUUGUGGCUGUUAAAAGGAAGCCAGACCCACUAUCCAUCACUACCAUGAGGUGUGACUGCAGGUCUGGAGCCCAGAAAUCUGAAAUCAAGGUGUUGACAGGCUUGGCUCCUACUGGACUCUCUGAGGGUGAAUCUGUUCCAUUCUCCUCCCCCCGUUUCUGGUGGCGGCUGCGAAUCGGUGGACUUUGGCUUGUAGAUGCAUCACUCAAAUAUCAGCCUCCGUCUUCACAUGGCCUUCUCCCCGCUGUCUCUGUGUUCAGAUUGCCCUCUUCUUAUAAGGACAACAGUCAUAUUGGAUUACGGGCCCACCCUACUCUCGUUUGACUUCAUCUUAAUUUAACUAAUUACAUUUUUAAUGACACUACAUCCAAAUAAGGCCACAUUCUGAGACCCCAGAGGUUAAGACUUCCACAUAUCAUUUUUGGGGGAUACAAUUCAACCCACAAGAAUGUCUAAGUGCUGAACGUUUGUCCAGGGGAUCUCCCGCCUGAAAUGUCCCCAAACAGCCAAGCCUUAGUUCCAAAGUCACGUUUUGUUGCUUCCAACACAACUUUUAUAUUCUGCAGUGCUUUUAUUUUUCUGAUUCCUUUAGUGGGAAAACUGUGGAAAGGAUUUCUCAGCAAAGAUUUAAUAAUGGGCAUUCAAUUUGGUGGUGGUUUUUACACUCAGAGGAGAAAGCACUGAUCUUGUAACACAAGCAUUCAUUUUUAAUAAAAAGAUCUGUGGAUUUAAAGCUCAAUGAUUAUCGCCUGAGGAGAUAUGAUGGCCUCCAGUUAAUUCCUUUAGGUUGGUGAGACAUCUCCUACAAGACCUUAAUGAGACCUUCUAUGAUUUGUUUGAUUUCUUUCCUCUGUAGAUUAUCUCUUCAAAGCAGUUUGGGUUUGUGCUUUGUAAGCAUCAGGAUUUUUGGAUCUCACACUUAAAGCUGUGACUAUUGAUCUAAAAGAUAUUUAGGUUUCAAGACACAUGGUUAUCGAGCUUUUAUAUCUGCAGAUUGCAUUUCUAGUAAGAAACAACUGAAAGAAAUGUUCUUCAUGCUUUUUUGUUGUUUUUCAGUGUGGGAGAGAUGAACAUUAACCAUUUGAUUAUAAUUAUAAAUACAUCAAAUAUGAUGCAGUUUUAAUUAUACAAGGCCAACUGAAAAUGCAAAACUUGAAUAUGCGAUUUUAAUUCAGAUAGAUGCAUAAUUACAAGGGUACUUCUCACAGGGACAAGCAUGGGGAAGUUCACUUUCACUCCCCUCUCCUCCUCUUUCCUUAAAUGCUAUUCUUGUUCAUUAAACCCCCUGGUAUCCUUGGAAA
This 1683-nucleotide long non-coding RNA is filed under the name Equus asinus (donkey). Its description in RNAcentral is "lncRNA (ENSEASG00005034357.1)". The record is from RNAcentral. Lineage: Eukaryota; Metazoa; Chordata; Mammalia; Perissodactyla; Equidae.